RNAcentral lists this ribosomal RNA (257 nucleotides) under uncultured bacterium. RNAcentral describes it as "partial 16S ribosomal RNA". It matches the Rfam family "Bacterial small subunit ribosomal RNA", at positions 521 to 776 of the family's 1533-position model. The record is from RNAcentral.
UACGGUAGGGCUGCGAAGCGUUGUCCGGAUUCAUCGUGGUGUAAAGGGUGCGUAGGCGGGAAGGCAAGUCAGAGGUGAAAUCUCACGGCUCAACCGUGAAACUGCCUUUGAUACUGCUUUUCUUGAGUUAGGGAGAGGUCGAUGGAAUUCCAGGUGUAGCGGUGAAAUGCGUAGAUAUCUGGAAGAACACCGGUGGCGAAGGCGGUCGACUGGCCCUAAACUGACGCUGAGGCACGAAAGCGUGGGGAUCAAACAGG